ACGGGAGGCAGCAGUGGGGAAUAUUGCACAAUGGGGGAAACCCUGAUGCAGCGACGCCGCGUGAGUGAAGAAGUAUUUCGGUAUGUAAAGCUCUAUCAGCAGGGAAGAAAAUGACGGUACCUGACUAAGAAGCCCCGGCUAACUACGUGCCAGCAGCCGCGGUAAUACGUAGGGGGCAAGCGUUAUCCGGAUUUACUGGGUGUAAAGGGAGCGUAGACGGCAUGGCAAGUCUGAUGUGAAAGGUGGGGGCUCAACCCCCAAACUGCAUUGGAAACUGUCAAGCUCGAGUGCCGGAGAGGUAAGCGGAAUUCCUAGUGUAGCGGUGAAAUGCGUAGAUAUUAGGAGGAACACCAGUGGCGAAGGCGGCUUACUGGACUGUAAAUGACGCUGAGGCUCGAAAGCGUGGGGAGCAAACAGGAUUAGAUACCCUGGUA
This 434-nucleotide ribosomal RNA is filed under the name uncultured Lachnospiraceae bacterium. RNAcentral describes it as "bacterial SSU rRNA". It matches the Rfam family "Bacterial small subunit ribosomal RNA", at positions 341 to 792 of the family's 1533-position model. The record is from RNAcentral. Lineage: Bacteria; Bacillati; Bacillota; Clostridia; Lachnospirales; Lachnospiraceae.